GUUUAUUAUGUGCCAAAUUUGGUGCUUGGUGCUUAUACCAAUUGAUGAAAUAUUAUUAUUAUUAGUAGCAGUAGUAGGUGAUGUAAAUAUUUUACCAAAAAAUCUAAAUAAAAAAUAAUGAGCAUUAACCUUUAAAUAUCAACUAACCAAACAGAACAAUGUGCAUAGGAGAACAUAAAUGUAGCUUAGAUUUUUUUGUCCUAAACAUUUUUAAAUCUCUAUUUAAUAAAAUGUAUGUUAUUGGAGAUAAAUUUUAAUCACAGUCACUCAAUUCGCUAAUUGUCUCAUUUUAAUAAUCUUAGA
This 303-nucleotide unclassified non-coding RNA is filed under the name Hevea brasiliensis (rubber tree). Lineage: Eukaryota; Viridiplantae; Streptophyta; Magnoliopsida; Malpighiales; Euphorbiaceae. The record is from RNAcentral.